Molecule: ribosomal RNA, 272 nt
Filed under: uncultured bacterium
Lineage: Bacteria
Description: partial small subunit ribosomal RNA
Rfam family: Bacterial small subunit ribosomal RNA
Source: RNAcentral
AGAAUCAACGCUGGCGGCGUGCCUAACACAUGCAAGUCGAACGCGAAAGUCCCGCAAGGGAUAAGUAGAGUGGCAAACGGGUGAGUAACACGUGGGUGACCUGCCUUCGAGUGGGGGAUAACGUCCCGAAAGGGACGCUAAUACCGCAUGACAUCCUGCUUUUUAAGAGGUGGAGAUCAAAGCCGGGGAUCGCAAGACCUGGCACUUGAAGAGGGGCCCGCGCCUGAUUAGCUAGUUGGCGAGGUAAUGGCUCACCAAGGCGACGAUCAGUA